RNAcentral lists this ribosomal RNA (440 nucleotides) under uncultured bacterium. Its description in RNAcentral is "partial 16S ribosomal RNA". It matches the Rfam family "Bacterial small subunit ribosomal RNA", at positions 338 to 795 of the family's 1533-position model. The record is from RNAcentral.
CCUACGAGGGGCUGCAGUGGGGGAUAUUGCACAAUGGGGGGAACCCUGAUGCAGCGACGCCGCGUGGGUGAAGAAGCGCCUCGGCGCGUAAAGCCCUGUCAGCAGGGAAGAAAAUGACGGUACCUGAAGAAGAAGCCCCGGCUAACUACGUGACCGCAGCCGCGGGAAUACGUAGGGGGCAAGCGUUAUCCGGAUUUACUGGGUGUAAAGGGGGCGCAGACGGCGAUGCAAGCCAGGAGUGAAAGCCCGGGGCCCAACCCCGGGACUGCCCUUGGAACUGCGUGGCUGGAGUGCAGGAGGGGCAGGCGGAAUGCCUGGUGUAGCGGUGAAAUGCGUAGAUAUCAGGAGGAACACCGGUGGCGAAGGCGGCCUGCUGGACUGCAACUGACGUUGAGGCCCGAAAGCGUGGGGAGCAAACAGGAUUAGAUACCCCAGUAGUC